Molecule: long non-coding RNA, 3288 nt
Filed under: Nicotiana benthamiana
Lineage: Eukaryota; Viridiplantae; Streptophyta; Magnoliopsida; Solanales; Solanaceae
Description: long non-coding RNA (NBEN_LNC028302)
Source: RNAcentral
ACUAGACCAACAAACUCAAUACUACUGUACAAGACUAAUAAUUAAAGACAACAUAACAUAGACAAAAAAUAAAAAGUUUCCUCAAGCAGCUCGUGCAUGCAAUGGUCUUGACUAGAAUGGUCUUGGGUAUUUGUCAUGCUCAAACGCUAGCAAAUUAAUCAAUACCUGAAUGGGAAAAAUAAGAUUAAAUUGAGUUAGUGACUCAAGACACAUGUGACACCAUGACACCUUCUGCUGGACACAUGCAAGGCAUGAUUUAGGUUAUUUUUGCAAAAUGACCUACGUAGCCAAAGUGUGACUAUUAGCACAAACCCAACAUGACCUCAAAGACAUGGAAAAAUACUUCACUGAGGCUUAUAUGAAUUCAAACUUCCAAUAAUCGCCCAAAAUUAAUUUGCAGAAAUGACCGAUUAUGUGAAAAUGACUGAUAUGGCCAAAAGUGACUAAAGAUGCAAGCUCAAUAAAAACGGACCUUAAAGUAAUAUGAAACCUAGUUGUGGACCUAAGAUCCUAAGACGUAGGCAAUUGAACCACUUUUGCAAAAAUAACCUCAUUUUGCAAGAAUGGCCGAUGUGGCCAGAAAUGGCUAAACAUGCAAGAUUUGGCUAAGACCCCACAAAGCUAAGAACCUAGGACUCACUAGGAAGACCGGACCCCAUGUGAGUUGCCUACGUAUCAUAUCUCGAAAGACGAGAAUCGGGUUCACGUAGUUCGGGAAGAUUAAAUAUAGCAUAGAACUUUUUAAAAAUGCAUUUAAUUUGAAAAAGAUAUACUGCAUAUUUUUUGUCUUUUUGAAAAAUGAUGAAAAUGUAAAAUCUUUUUAGAUUUUCGUUUCUCCUUUUUUUGAAUUUUUGAAAAAUGAUGGAAAAUAUAAAUCUUUCUGAAUUUUUUUAAAAAUUUUUGGAAAAUAAUGGAAAAGUGUAAAAUACUUUUGGAUUUUCUUUUUUCAUUUUUGUUUUCGAUUUUUUGGAAAAUUUAUGGAAAAGUAUAAAUCUUCAUUUUUCACCCUUCUUUCUCAAGCAUCGGUCUGCUAAAUAACAUUUUUACCUUCAAAGAUGCAACAUAUAUCACAUAGGGUUGAUUGAAUGUCUUUUUGGGCCACGGGCCCAUUUUGACAAAAUUUGAAUAAGCUUUCUACAAAGGGAUACGGUGCCUGCGAUCUAGCCCUACUAAGUAUAAAUGACAUGAUGCAAAUAAAAAUGACAUAAAGACUGAACUAAGUUUGGAGUUCACUAACAAGGCAAUUUGGGGGAGCGCAUGGUCGAUGGUGGCUGCUUAAGCUUUCCACCCACUCCAUACGUCUAACGGCUCCCCUCCUAAAUUAAGGAUGACUCAACAAAGAGUUUGAGCAUGCGACACGUACUUCGGGACUUGUUGUAGAAAGAAGACCCACGAUUAUGCAAAUAAUGAUAGUUUAUAAAGCAGUAGGUCAGUAACACAUCAAGAAAAGAGAUAAACAAAUAACUAACAAAACAAGAAAAUAAGACAAACAAAGCAAAUAAGGAAAACAAACACCUCAAUCAAAUAUCCUAAAAGCCAACAAGAUUAAGUAUUAGCUCGAACCUGCAAAUCCCCAACAUAGUCAUCAGAGAUGUCACACCUUUUUUUUAAACAAACCCAAUUUUCCUCUUAAAAAUAUUAAAAAGAUUUAGUGAAGCAUGAAAAGAGUUUUUCAAUUUGAAAAGUGACAAAAUUAUGCUAAAAUGGAUUAACUCAGAGUCACCACCUGACAUUUAUUUUUGGUGUGCCAGGUCAACAUUUUUUCUUAAAAAUAAUUUCUCCUUUAGAACAGUUUUAGACUCUAAAACCAAGUCCGUACCAUAGAUUCAGGUAAGAGGGUUUAUUUGACUCUGGGAGAAGGUACUAGGCAUUCCCCAAGUCCCGUCAAGGUCACAGUUACGUACUCGAUCUAGCUGGCUUUUAAAAUAUUCGAAUUGAGGCUAUAAAAACACACUAAAGAGAAUAAACAAUCAAAAAGACUCGAGAUCGUCCCCACCUAAUAUUAUAAAAAAAUAAAUAUAAAGCAAGAAUAAAAGUACUACGAGUUUUGCUCUCGGCCUCCAAAUACAAAUAUCUCGGGGCAUACUCCGAAAAAAGUAUAUACAACUCCUUCGGGGUAUUUUCCGAAUAAAUUUAACUAAAGGAACGACCUUUCGCCUUGAAACUGACAAAAUCCUAAAGUUUGCUUUCUUAAAUGUUAUCGGUCUAAACAUACUCCUAACGGUUAAAUACGAAGAAUAAAUUCAACAGAUAUUCAACUUAAUGCUACAGCCCGUAUGCAUCAAGAUAUCAAUUCCUAUUCUCUUUAAUUUCUGUGAACCCAUAGGCCAAUGUCAAAUCUAGUUACAGCUAUCACAAGAACAAAAUUAUCAAAAAAACAAAUAGUAACAUGUGGAGUAGUAAUUAUAUACUUCAGUUAAAAGAAACAAAUAGUAACUAAAGAAAAUGAGAGAAACAUAUAAGGUAAACUAGAAAAAAAUCUACACUUCAAUUAAGCCAUACCUAAUAUGUGGAGUAAAAAUUAAGAGCGUACGGGUAAGAAAAGACCUCAAAGAAUCUGACAUUUAAACGAAUGGAAGCCUUGAAACGCAAAAAUGCGACGAAUCGCGGAUGGGAAUUCGAAUCGGCACCGAAAAGCUCUAAUCUAUAUUCACCUAGCAAAUCCCUCUUGACGUACAUAUGCUAAGUGAAUCUGCCAUAAACAAAUAGAAAUUGAAGAUGAGCAAAGGGUCCUAAUGAGGGUCGUCGCCGGACUUAAGCUUUCCGGGAAUACUCGCCGGAAAAUAGAUCGUCGACCAGUUCUGAAAUAAACACGGUAGGGGAAACAACAGCAAACCGGUCUAGUAGUAAAGCUUGACGCUCGAUGCCGGAGACCUUUAUAUAAACGGAGCAGACCAUAAGUUUUCUGGCGAGGGUGGUUUCCGAAAAAUGGUAUCUUCCAUAUCUGGGCGAAAGGUGAAGGCUGUUGGCAAAUCUAUGUGUAUGAGCGAGAGAUGGAGACGGGUGAAAGAGGAGGAGCAGUGGCUGGUUCCGGCGACAGGGCUGGCUGGUUCUGGCGAGCUUGCCUUUUUUCCUCAAGGUUCUGCUAUGGUGUUUCUAUGAAGAAGAUGAUUGGGUACCUAUUUUGUUUUCGUUUUCUUUUCUUUCUAACGGUAGGUCUUGGUCAAGAAGAAGGCCUGAUGGGUUGUAUCGGGUUGGGUUGUUGAAUUUUGGGUUCAUAUUUGAAUUGGGAUUCGAAAUUUAUAAAAUUAGACAAUAAACAAGUUGUAAUAUUUAAUUUAAAUGCUU